GGCCAGCAUUGAUGAAAAAAGAAAAACUUCCCCCAUCGCAUCAUUAACCGGUGUAGGAUUCAAGAUCAGGUCCAGGAUUCGAGUCAAAUCGACCUUCCCUCUCAUCUCAGGGUGAGGCAAGGAAUUGUUUCAAAUGUUCGUUGUUCAAUAUCUCGGCUGCUCAAGAAGUUUGACUAGUUGCUCCUCCGACCCGGAGUGGAUUCUAGGGGAAGGGCAGAGCCUCACCUUGCAGUAGGAAGGUGUUCGUUGUUGGGACGGGUUCAAACUGGACUGAAGGGAGGAGGAAAAAAAGAGUCCUCUCUUCCUGGUCCUAUCGAACCAGACACUGAAUACCUGGGGAUUCAUCACUGGCUAGGGCUUUCGAAUGUUGUUCAAUAUCUCGGUUGCUCAGGAAGUUUGACUAGUUAAUUUCCUAGUCUCUUCGAGAUCAAAAAUCGAAAAUAUAAUCACCCACCAAAAAAAGAGGCAAGUAAACCUCACGUGCUAAUAUAGAUCAUGAUGCUAUAUGCAAGCAGGAGUUACAACCCUCUCCUAUACAACAGACUGUUCAUAAACCAGCUAAGGCAAACUCAACCCACGCGGAGCAAGAGCACAAACAAGAAGGGGAAAAAUAACUGAAUAUGGCCACCGAGUUUAGAAACCACUACCCCAUAAACUAUUGAAACGCCAGACAAAGGGAGCAACUACAGAUCCACUCUCAUACAACGGCUCACUGGAUCGGGGUAAGAAAAAUAUCAUUUUG
RNAcentral lists this long non-coding RNA (742 nucleotides) under Nicotiana benthamiana. RNAcentral's name for it is "long non-coding RNA (NBEN_LNC012203)". The record is from RNAcentral. Lineage: Eukaryota; Viridiplantae; Streptophyta; Magnoliopsida; Solanales; Solanaceae.